GAUGAACGCUGGCGGCGUGCCUAAUACAUGCAAGUCGAGCGAACGGACGAGAAGCUUGCUUCUCUGAUGUUAGCGGCGGACGGGUGAGUAACACGUGGAUAACCUACCUAUAAGACUGGGAUAACUUCGGGAAACCGUAGCUAAUACCGGAUAAUAUUUUGAACCGCAUGGUUCAAAAGUGAAAGACGGUCUUGCUGUCACUUAUAGAUGGAUCCGCGCUGCAUUAGCUAGUUGGUAAGGUAACGGCUUACCAAGGCAACGAUGCAUAGCCGACCUGAGAGGGUGAUCGGCCACACUGGAACUGAGACACGGUCCAGACUCCUACGGGAGGCAGCAGUAGGGAAUCGUCCGCAAUGGGCGAAAGCCUGACGGAGCAACGCCGCGGGAGUGAUGAAGGUCUUCGGAUCGUAAAACUCUGUUAUUAGGGAAGAACAUAUGUGUAAGUAACAGUGCACAUCUGGACGGUACCUAAUCAGAAAGCCACGGCUAACUACGUG
Molecule: ribosomal RNA, 497 nt
Filed under: uncultured bacterium
Lineage: Bacteria
Description: partial 16S ribosomal RNA
Rfam family: Bacterial small subunit ribosomal RNA
Source: RNAcentral